RNAcentral lists this transfer RNA (69 nucleotides) under Bos taurus (domestic cattle). It matches the Rfam family "tRNA". From Rfam's summary of the family: Transfer RNA (tRNA) molecules are approximately 80 nucleotides in length. RNAcentral also lists the same sequence under 6 other names. The record is from Rfam by way of RNAcentral. Lineage: Eukaryota; Metazoa; Chordata; Mammalia; Artiodactyla; Bovidae.
CCUGGUGGCUCAGAUGGUAAAGCAUCUGCCUGCAAUGCGGGAGACCCAGGUUCGAUCCCUGGGUCAGGA